UACAGAGGUCUCGAGCGUUAGGCGGAAUUACUGGGCGUAAAGCGUGCGCAGGCGGCGCGUUAAGACAGGUGUGAAAGCCCCGAGCUUAACUUGGGAAUUGCGCUUGUGUCUGGCGUGCUGGAGUGUGGCAGAGGGAGGUGGAAUUCCACGUGUAGCAGUGAAAUGCGUAGAGAUGUGGAGGAACACCGAUGGCGAAGGCAGCCUCCUGGCCUGUUCUUGACGCUGAGGCGCGAAAGCUAGGGGAGCAAACGGG
This 253-nucleotide ribosomal RNA is filed under the name uncultured bacterium. Its description in RNAcentral is "partial 16S ribosomal RNA". It matches the Rfam family "Bacterial small subunit ribosomal RNA", at positions 524 to 776 of the family's 1533-position model. The record is from RNAcentral.